RNAcentral lists this ribosomal RNA (112 nucleotides) under Carlito syrichta (Philippine tarsier). Lineage: Eukaryota; Metazoa; Chordata; Mammalia; Primates; Tarsiidae. The record is from RNAcentral.
UCUGGUCAUGCCAUCCUGACCGUGACCAAUCUUGUCAGAUCUUGGAAACUAAGCAGGGUCAGGCCCAGUUGAAUGGAAGAAUCUCCUGGAAAUAUUCACAGAAAGGUCAGAC